RNAcentral lists this ribosomal RNA (461 nucleotides) under uncultured bacterium. Its description in RNAcentral is "bacterial SSU rRNA". It matches the Rfam family "Bacterial small subunit ribosomal RNA", at positions 43 to 507 of the family's 1533-position model. The record is from RNAcentral.
CGUGCCUAACACAUGCAAGUCGAACGGAGAGGUUAUGAACAAGGCUUCGGCCAAGUGAGUAAUUUCUAGUGGCGACGGGUGAGUAACGCGUGAGCAAUCUGCCUUUCAGAGGGGGAUAACGUUCUGAAAAGAACGCUAAUACCGCAUAAUGUAUUUUGAUGGCAUCAUCGAGAUACCAAAGAUUUAUCGGCAAAGGAUGGGCCUGCGUCUGAUUAGCUAGUUGGUGGGGUAACGGCCUACCAAGGCGACGAUCAGUAGCCGACCUGAGAGGGUGAUCGGCCACAUUGGAACUGAGACACGGUCCAAACUCCUACGGGAGGCAGCAGUGGGGAAUAUUGCACAAUGGGCGAAAGCCUGAUGCAGCAACGCCGCGUGAAGGAAGAAGGUCUUCGGAUCGUAAACUUCUGUCCUUAGGGAAGAUAAUGACGGUACCUUUGGAGGAAGCCCCGGCUAACUACGUG